Molecule: ribosomal RNA, 640 nt
Filed under: Escherichia coli
Lineage: Bacteria; Pseudomonadati; Pseudomonadota; Gammaproteobacteria; Enterobacterales; Enterobacteriaceae
Description: partial 23S ribosomal RNA
Rfam family: Bacterial large subunit ribosomal RNA
Source: RNAcentral
AUGUGUAGGAUAGGUGGGAGGCUUAGAAGUGUGGACGCCAGUCUGCAUGGAGCCGACCUUGAAAUACCACCCUUUAAUGUUUGAUGUUCUAACGUUGACCCGUAAUCCGGGUUGCGGACAGUGUCUGGUGGGUAGUUUGACUGGGGCGGUCUCCUCCUAAAGAGUAACGGAGGAGCACGAAGGUUGGCUAAUCCUGGUCGGACAUCAGGAGGUUAGUGCAAUGGCAUAAGCCAGCUUGACUGCGAGCGUGACGGCGCGAGCAGGUGCGAAAGCAGGUCAUAGUGAUCCGGUGGUUCUGAAUGGAAGGGCCAUCGCUCAACGGAUAAAAGGUACUCCGGGGAUAACAGGCUGAUACCGCCCAAGAGUUCAUAUCGACGGCGGUGUUUGGCACCUCGAUGUCGGCUCAUCACAUCCUGGGGCUGAAGUAGGUCCCAAGGGUAUGGCUGUUCGCCAUUUAAAGUGGUACGCGAGCUGGGUUUAGAACGUCGUGAGACAGUUCGGUCCCUAUCUGCCGUGGGCGCUGGAGAACUGAGGGGGGCUGCUCCUAGUACGAGAGGACCGGAGUGGACGCAUCACUGGUGUUCGGGUUGUCAUGCCAAUGGCACUGCCCGGUAGCUAAAUGCGGAAGAGAUAAGUGCUG